AGCACGAGCAAAACACCCGGUCCCAUCCCGAACCCGGCCGUUAAGUGCCGUCGCGCCAAUGGUACUGCGUCUCAAGACGUGGGAGAGUAGGUC
This 93-nucleotide ribosomal RNA is filed under the name uncultured Rhodobacterales bacterium HF4000_03E16. The record is from RNAcentral. Lineage: Bacteria; Pseudomonadati; Pseudomonadota; Alphaproteobacteria; Rhodobacterales.